RNAcentral lists this ribosomal RNA (561 nucleotides) under uncultured bacterium. RNAcentral describes it as "bacterial SSU rRNA". It matches the Rfam family "Bacterial small subunit ribosomal RNA", at positions 338 to 916 of the family's 1533-position model. The record is from RNAcentral.
CCUACGGGAGGCAGCAGUGGGGAAUAUUGGACAAUGGGCGAAAGCCUGAUCCAGCAAUGCCGCGUGAGUGAUGAAGGCCUUAGGGUUGUAAAGCUCUUUUACCAGGGAUGAUAAUGACAGUACCUGGAGAAUAAGCUCCGGCUAACUCCGUGCCAGCAGCCGCGGUAAUACGGAGGGAGCUAGCGUUGUUCGGAAUUACUGGGCGUAAAGCGUACGUAGGCGGUUAUUCAAGUCAGAGGUGAAAGCCUGGAGCUCAACUCCAGAACUGCCUUUGAAACUAGAUAGCUAGAAUCUUGGAGAGGUGAGUGGAAUUCCGAGUGUAGAGGUGAAAUUCGUAGAUAUUCGGAAGAACACCAGUGGCGAAGGCGACUCACUGGACAAGUAUUGACGCUGAGGUACGAAAGCGUGGGGAGCAAACAGGAUUAGAUACCCUGGUAGUCCACGCCGUAAACGAUGAUAACUAGCUGUUCGGGCUCUACGAGCUUGAGUGGCGCAGCUAACGCAUUAAGCUAUCCGCCUGGGGAGUACGGUCGCAAGAUUAAAACUCAAAGGAAUUGACGG